AGAGAGGCCGUAGGGACCGACGGCGGGCUAGCUAGUGCUUCCGUUUUGGCCGCCUUGCGAGCGCUCGGGUUGAGUUUCCCGGGCUUCCCCGACUCGACUGCCUGUUCUGGAGGUCGGGCGUUGGGCCCUUGCAGAGAUCGCCGAGGGGCCAGCGCGGCCGCCCGAGCCUGGGCCCAGUCCCCAGUCCUCAGAGACGCACUCGACCUUCCUGCUCCGAAGAGCUGGCUUGAUGUCCUCGGGUCGCGCUCAGCAGGUUCUUACUUUUCCAAACCUAGAGGGCAGUGCAUGAAGCCAGGAGUCAUCAGCCAUGCUCCAGACAGUGUGGUUCCAGGGUUUGAGCAGGAACCUGUUGUUUCAGGAGCCGGUGACCUUUGAGGAUGUGGCUGUGUACUUCACCCAGAAUGAAUGGGCCAGCCUGCACCCUAUGCAGCGGGCCCUGUACAGGGAGGUGAUGCUGGAGAAUUAUGCAAAUGUGACUUCCUUGUGACUUUUCUCUUCCCUGAUUCCUAAUGGAGACCCAACUGCAGGGGGCUUUCCUCUGAGCACAGAGAGAACUGAGAAGGUUCCUGGUGCACUGCCUUCAUUCCUUCCAUCUUCCAGUUCCCUGGAGGUGAUCUUGGCCCUAUUGCCUAUGUCAGCAUUUCCAUUCUCCAAACCAGAUCUGAUAUUCCAGCUGGAGCAAGGAGAAGCAGCAUGGGGCCCAGAUCCCUGGACACUUGCUGGGGGAGAGGCCCUGAGAGGCAUGUGCACAGGUGGUAAAACCAAGACUAAGAAUGAGGAACAAACUGCACAGCUAAACAUUUCUAAAGAAUCAGAGUCCCACAGACUGAUAGUGGAGGGACUGCUGAUGAACAUUCCCCAGCACCCUGACUUCAAGGACAGGUUAGAGAAGUCACAACAUGAUACAGGGAAGAAAACAAAUAUAGGGGAUUGCACAGAUUUGGCAGUCCAGGAUCAUAAAUCUUCCACCAUUGAAAGGGAGGAGAUAGCCAGGAAAUUGGAAGAAAGUAGUGUCAGCACACAUCUCAUUACAAAGCAAGACUUUGCCAAAGAACAGGUGUUUUAUAAAUGUGGUGAGUGUGGCAGUUACUACAACCCACAUUCAGACUUUCACCAGCAUCAGAGAAUUCACACUAAUGAGAGGCCCUACACAUGCAAAGAAUGUGGGAAAACCUUCAGAUACAACUCAAAACUGUCAUGGCAUCAGAAAAUCCACACUGGAGAGAAACCAUACUCAUGUGAGGAAUGUGGACAAGCCUUUGGUCAAAAUUCCCACCUUUUUCAGCAUCAGAAGCUCCAUGGUGGACAGAGGCCCUGUGAAUGUACUGACUGUGGGAAAACCUUCAGCUAUAAUUCAAAACUGAUUGAGCAUCAGAGAAUCCAUACUGGGGAGAAGCCCUUUAAAUGUCAGGAAUGUGGGAAAGUCUUCAGGUGUAGCUAUGACUGCAUCAUCCAUGAACGAAUUCACACUGGGGAGAAGCCCCAUGAAUGUAAGGAGUGUGGGAAGAGUUUGAGUUCUAAUUCAAUUCUGAUUCAGCAUCAGAGAAUCCACACUGGGGAGAAACCUUAUGAAUGUAAAGAGUGUGGCAAGGCCUUCCACCACAGUUCAGUAUUUCUUCAGCACAAGAGGUUCCACACUGGGGAACAACUCUACAAAUGUAAUGAAUGUUGGAAAACUUUCAGUUGUAGCUCCCACUUCAUAGUGCAUCAGAGAAUCCACACUGGGGAGAAACCCUAUGAAUGCCAGGAAUGUGGGAAGACAUUCAGUCAGAAGAUCACUCUGGUUCAGCAUCAGCGAGUUCACACUGGGGAGAAACCUUAUGAGUGUAAGGAGUGUGGGAAAGCCUUCAGAUGGAAUGCAAGUUUCAUUCAGCAUCAGAAGUGGCAUACCAGAAAGAAACUCAUCAAUGGAACAGGGCUAUCUGCAGUUAAGCCCUACUGCUCCUCCACUGUCCUCUCUCCUCUGCCUCCCCAACAUGCCUGCUCUACCCCAGCCCCACCAGGGCCUCCCUUAUCUUCUUCACAUGCAGUGGUACUUCCUCCCUCUUUGCCUUUCUUCCUGCUGCUUCCCUCAUCUGAAAAGGCCAGUCCUUCACCUGUCCAAAUAGUACAUUUCUUUCAGGAUCUCGCUUCUUCUGGGAAGUCAUCCCCUCAUAGCCCAAAUCCUUUGUCUCACUCCCUGUAAGCCCCCUUAUGUUCUCAACAUCAAUUGCACAUCAAGUUAGGGAUUCCACUGGUCUCCUGAUUGUGUCUAUUGAUAUUCCUCUGGUCUUGUGUUGUAUAAAUUGUUACUGUUUUCCUAACUUCAUUUUAAGUUCUCACACUUAAGGACCAUGUUUGAUUAGUUUAUUUUAUCCCCCAGGUAGGAAAUGGCAGCACUUAAUUCCUUAUCAUGUUCACAUUUGGGCUGUAUUAUCAGUCUGCAUCUUCUGGAGCUACUGGAGUUGGAAGAAUUUGCAGAACAUUUUGAGGUUUAGGGCAUAUGGCAUUAUGAUUAUGAUGAGAUGGGGCAUUAUAAUUAGAGGCUAGGAGAAAUGCAAAGCCUAUGGGAGAAGAUAAUCAGAUAAAGUUUCCAAUGAUUGCUUUCAGGAGUUUUUUUGUUUUUUUGUUUGUUUGUUUUUUGAGCCAGAGUUUCACUCUUGUCGCCCAGGCUGGAGUGCAAUGGUGCGAUCUUGGCUCACUGCAACCUCUGCCUCCAGGGUUCAAGUGAUUCUCAUGCCUCAGCCUCCUGAGUAGCUGGGACCACAGGCAUGCACCACCAUGCCCAGCUAAUUUUGUAUUUUUAGUAGAGACAGGGUUUCACCAUGUUGGCCAGGCUGGUCUCAAAAUCCUGACUUCAGGUGAUCCACCCACCUCGGUCUCCCAAAGUGCUAGGAUUACAGGCAUGAGCCACUGCAUCCAGCCUGCUUUCAGGAUUUAAGGAGGGCUAUUUGGUGGACCAGUGGCAAGGCUCACUGAAAGAAUUUAAAACUUGGAAUUUUUUAUUACCUUGAUAGCAUAAAAAAUUAUGAGGGUCCUGUUUAUGCAGGAAGAAAAUGAAGUGAUGAGUUGGCAUUGAUAGCAAUAAUGUAAAAUUAUGUCUUUGAGCUUUAUUGGAAGAGGACAUGGUUUUUCAGUUUGGGUUCCUUCUCUAUUUUCUUUUUACAUUUUCCUUUUUUUUUUAGAGACAGGGUCUUGCUCUGUCACCCAGGCUGGAGUGCAGUGGUGUGAUCAUGGAUCACUGCAGUGUUGACCUUUGGGGCUCAAGCAAUCUAGGAGGUAGUGCAGCCUCCCAGCUUCUCAGAGGGCUGAUGUGGGAGGAUUGCUUGAGCCCUGGGGGCAUACACCACCACACCCAGCUUAUUUUUGUAUUUUUUGUUGAGACAGAGUUUUGCCAUGUUGCCCAGGCUGGUCUCAAACUCCUGGACUCAAGUGAUCCUCCCACUUCAGCCUCCCAAAGUGCUGGGAUUACAGGCCUGAGCCACCAGUUCCAGCCUCUAUUCUUUUUCAUAUCUGUUGAAUUUCAGUACCCGCUCAUAUAUGUAGGUACGAAAAGUGACUUGGACUUGCACCCUUUAGAGUAGAUGCCUGAGUAUAGUAAUCUCUAAAGCUAUACAUGGACUGAACUUGUUGGCAUCACACUGGUGAGCACCAGAGGCAAAGAGAAGAGAAACCUGACCAUGACUUGCUGUAGUUCCUCAGAAGUGAGUCCAUUCCUGAUGAGUUACUAUGCAGGCCCUUGGAUGUUCUCACACCUACUCCAGAUUUCCCUAUGACUAAAUCUGAAUUUUAUUGGUGGCAGUUUUAAGUUAAUUUUAUAAAGAACUGUUUUGGUGACACCAAGAAAUUUUUUCUAUGAGAGAUUGCUAUGGUUUGAAUAUCCCCAGCAAAAUUCAUGUUGAAACUUAAUCCCCAUUGUAACAGUACUGGGUGGGGGGCCUUUAAGAGUGAUUAGAAUUAGAUAAGUUCAUCAGGGUGGAGCCUCCACAAUGGGACUGGUGGCUUUAUGAGGAGAGGAAGAGCAAUGUGAACUGGGACACAUGCUUGCUCUGUCUUGCCUUUUGAUGCCUCCUACCAUGUCAUGAUGCAGCAAGUAAGCCCUCACCAGAUGCCUGCACCUUUAUAUUGGACUUCUCAGCCUUCAGAACUGUGAACUAAAUAAACCUCUAUUCUGUAUAAAUUA
This is an RNA transcript of Mandrillus leucophaeus (drill), 4162 nucleotides long. It is a transcript of the gene named zinc finger protein 619, with no coding region annotated. Lineage: Eukaryota; Metazoa; Chordata; Mammalia; Primates; Cercopithecidae. The transcript is spliced from 7 exons. The record is from RefSeq and is a predicted model, not a curated record.